GACGUAGGGCGCGAGCGUUGUCCGGAUUUAUUGGGCGUAAAAAGCUCGUAGGCGGCUUGUCGCGUCGAAUGUGAAAUCUCAGGGCUCAACUCUGACAUUGCAUUCGAUACGGGCAUCACUUGAGUUCGGCAGGGGAGACUGGAAUUCCUGGUGUAGCGGUGAAAUGCGCAGAUAUCAGGAGGAACACCAAUGGCGAAGGCAGAUCUCUGGGCCGUAACUGACGCUGGAGGAGCGGAAAGCAUGGGGAGCGAACAGGA
Molecule: ribosomal RNA, 257 nt
Filed under: uncultured bacterium
Lineage: Bacteria
Description: partial 16S ribosomal RNA
Rfam family: Bacterial small subunit ribosomal RNA
Source: RNAcentral